RNAcentral lists this ribosomal RNA (1839 nucleotides) under human gut metagenome. RNAcentral describes it as "bacterial LSU rRNA". It matches the Rfam family "Bacterial large subunit ribosomal RNA", at positions 1088 to 2925 of the family's 2925-position model. The record is from RNAcentral.
AACAGCUAGGAGGUUGGCUCAGAAGCAGCCAUCCUUUAAAGAGUGCGUAAUAGCUCACUAGUCGAGUGGCUCUGCGCCGAAAAUGUACCGGGGCUAAACAUAUUACCGAAACUGUGGAUUUAUGCAAUAGCAUAAGUGGUAGGGGAGCGUUCUAAGGGCGACGAAGAUAGAUCGAGAGGACUAUUGGAGCGCUUAGAAGUGAGAAUGCCGGUGUGAGUAACGUAAGGUAGGUGAGAAUCCUACCCACUGAUUGACCAAGGAUUCCAGGGUCAAGUUCGUCUACCCUGGGUAAGUCAGGACCUAAGGCGAGGCUGAGAAGCGUAGUCGAUGGACAACAGGUUUAUAUUCCUGUACUAUUUAUAGGACUGAAGGAGUGACAAAGGAAGCUAGUAAGAGCCAUUUAAUGGAUUAUGGUCUAAGCACAAAGACUGAUACAUAGGAAAAUCCGUGAUAUCGAACGGUUGAAGUGUGAUGGCGAAGCAGUCUACGGACAGCGAAGUCUUAUGAGGCUAAACUUUUUAAAAAAGCUUCUAAAGAAAUGCUAUAAAUACCUGUACUAAGAACCAACGCAGGUGGUCAAGGAGAGAAUCCUAAGGUGAGCGAGAGAACUAUGGUUAAGGAACUCGGCACAAUGAUCCCGUAACUUCGGAAUAAGGGAAGGUCUUGAAAAAGACCCGCAGUGAAUAGGCCCAAGCGACUGUUUACCAAAAACACAGGUUUCUGCAAAAGCGUAAGCUGAAGUAUAGGAGCUGACGCCUGCCCAGUGCUGGAAGGUUAAGAUGAUUUGUAAGAUGGACGAAAGUCGAUAACAUCGAAGCAAUGAAUUGAAGCCCCAGUGAACGGCGGCGAUAACUAUAAUCGUCCAAAGGUAGCGAAAUUCCUUGUCAGGUAAGUUCUGACCCGCACGAAAGGCGUAACGAUUUGGGCGCUGUCUCAGCUGUAGACUCGGUGAAGUCUUAGUACCUGUGAAGAUGCAGGUUACCCGCGACUAGACGGAAAGACCCCAUGGAGCUUCACUGCAGGUUGAUAUUGGGAUUUGAUGCAGCAUGUACAGGAUAGGUAGGAGGCAAAGAGAUGGAUACGCCAGUAUUCAAGGAGCCGCUGUUGGGAUACUACCCCUGUUGUAUUGGAUUUCUAACCGGACGACGUAGAGCCGUUGACGGGACAGUGUCAGUCGGGCAGUUUGACUGGGGCGGUCGCCUCCCAAAGAGUAACGGAGGCGCCCAAAGAUACCCUCAGCUUGGAUGGAAACCAAGCGCAGAGUGCAAAGGCAAAAGGGUGUUUGACUGCGAGACCCACAAGUCGAGCAGGGACGAAAGUCGGGCUUAGUGAUCCGGCGGUGCUGAAUGGAAAGGCCGUCGCUCAACGGAUAAAAGCUACCCUGGGGAUAACAGGCUGAUCUCCCCCAAGAGUUCACAUCGACGGGGAGGUUUGGCACCUCGAUGUCGGCUCAUCGCAUCCUGGAGCUGAAGUCGGUUCCAAGGGUUGGGCUGUUCGCCCAUUAAAGCGGUACGCGAGCUGGGUUCAGAACGUCGUGAGACAGUUCGGUCCCUAUCUGUCGUGGGCGCAGGAAAUUUGAGAAGAGCUGUCCUCAGUACGAGAGGACCGGGAUGGACGCAUCAAUGGUGGACCAGUUGUCACGCCAGUGGCAUAGCUGGGUAGCUAAAUGCGGAAGGGAUAAACGCUGAAGGCAUCUAAGUGUGAAACCCACUUCAAGAUGAGAUUUCCCAUUGCGCAAGCAAGUAAGACCCCUUAAAGACGAUAAGGUAGAUAGGUCAGGAGUGUAAGCAUGGUGACAUGUUAAGCGGACUGAUACUAAUAGGUCGAGGGCUUGACCGA